Molecule: ribosomal RNA, 1460 nt
Filed under: Nemanthias carberryi
Lineage: Eukaryota; Metazoa; Chordata; Actinopteri; Perciformes; Anthiadidae
Description: partial 16S ribosomal RNA
Rfam family: Bacterial large subunit ribosomal RNA
Source: RNAcentral
CAACACAUUAACACUUAAAAAUUAAACAAACCAUUUGACCACUUUAGUACGGGAGACGGAAAAAGAUAUUGAAGGCGCGAUAGAGCAAGUACCGCGAGGGAAUGCUGAAAGAGAACUGAAAUAGAUCAGUAAAGUACCAAGAAGCAGAGCUCAAACCUCGUACCUUUUGCAUCAUGAUUUAGCCAGUGAAAACCAAGCAAAAAGCAUUUUAGUUUGGUUACCCGAAACUAAGUGAGCUACUCCAGGGCAGCCUAGUUUAUAGGGCGAACCCGUCUCUGUGGCAAAAGAGUGGGAAGACCCUCGAGUAGGGGUGAUAGACCUAUCGAACUUAGUUAUAGCUGGUUGCCCAAGAAAUGAAUAGAAGUUCAGCCUCCCAGCUUCUUUAUUCCCCCGUUACUUUUAAACCUUACGAUAAUAAGAACACUGAGAGAGUUAGUCAAAGAAGGCACAGCUUCUUUGACAUAAGACACAACUUUUCCAGGAGGGUAAAGAUCAUAUUUACGUAGGACAUUUCACAACCCUGUGGGCUUAAAAGCAGCCAUCUGAUGAAAGAAAGCGUCUGAGCUUAGAAUCUAUACUAGAACCCUUAAUAACGAUUAAUUAAUCUUAACCCCCUAAAACUAUUGGGCUCUUCCAUGCAAACAUGGAAGGAACCAUGCUAAAAUGAGUAAUAAGAGAGUUAACGCCUCUCUCCCUGCACAAGUGUAAAUCAGAACGGACAAUCCGCUGAACAUUAACGGCCUCACCAACAGAGAGUACUAAGUAGUUUAAUAGAGACCGAGAAAAUCACUUUACUUAUUACCGUUGCCCCCACACAGGAGUGCACCCAGGGAAAGACUAAAAGAAAAAGAAGGAACUCGGCAAACGCAUCAAGCCUCGCCUGUUUACCAAAAACAUCGCCUCUUGUAGCCCAAGACAUAAGAGGUCGUGCCUGCCCUGUGAGUUAGUUUAACGGCUGCGGUAUCAUGACCGUGCAAAGGUAGCGCAAUCACUUGUCUCUUAAAUGGAGACCCGUAUGAAUGGUGUGACGAGGGCUUAACUGUCUCCUUUUUCAGGUCAAUGAACUUGAUCUUCCCGUGCAGAAGCGGGAAUUUAUACAUAAGACGAGAAGACCCUAUGGAGCUUUAGACAUAGAGGUAGUUCAUGGACACUAUACCUUUUAAAGAAUUAAACAAGCCGUGUUACCUGCCUCUCAUCUUUGGUUGGGGCGACCGCGAAGAAAAAUUUAUCCCUCGCGACGGACUGGGAGGAUUCUCCUAAAACCAAGAGCGGCAGCUCUAAGCAACAAAACUUUUGACUCUACAGAACCGGUUCAUAAACCGAUCAACGGACCGAGUUACCCUAGGGAUAACAGCGCAAUCCUCUUCUAGAGACCUUAUCGACGAGAGGGUUUACGACCUCGAUGUUGGAUCAGGACAUCCUGAUGGCGCAGCCGUUAUCAAGGGUUCGUUUGUUCAACG